Long non-coding RNA from Rhea pennata, 406 nucleotides. RefSeq lists it as uncharacterized. NCBI's taxonomy places the organism in Eukaryota, Metazoa, Chordata, Aves, Rheiformes, Rheidae. The transcript is spliced from 4 exons. The record is from RefSeq and is a predicted model, not a curated record.
GCGCGGCGCCAGCCGGAAGCGGCGGGGUGCUCGCGCGCACUGCGGGCGCCGGCUGCGCGGCGGAGCGGGCGCCAUGUCGGGCCGAGAGGGCGGCAAGAAGAAGCCGCUGAAGCAGCCGAAGAAGCAGUCGAAGGACCUGGAUGAGGCAGAUCUGGCAUUUAAACAAAAGCAGAAGGAGGAGCAAAAGAAACUUGAGGAGAUGAAAGCAAAAGCUGCUGGAAAAGGGCCCCUCACUAGUGGUGGAAUCAAGAAGUCUGGCAAAAAGUAGUUUGAUGAAGCUGCUGGAAAAAGUGUUAGAGUUAUUCCAUGGAUCUGCUGGCUUCAGAGAGUCAACAAAACUCACUGUCGUUUGAAAAACCUUGUACAUUUUGUUUAGUCAGAAUAAAACUUUUUUGUUAAGAUGUCA